UAAAGAAAAUUAGCUAAUUGCUUUUAAAUCUGAAAUUAACUCAGUAAUUCAUCGUAAUUUAAAAUCAUUCAUAACCGUACAGAAUGAUUUUGAAACGAUCGCAAAAAGUUAAAGUACUUGAGCAUGCGUAAUGUCGGGUGCCUUUGCAUAGCCCAGUGGUUAGGGCGUUGGACAAUCCCACAUGAAAACCCGGGUUCGAGUCUCUCUCUGGCCCUAUUGGUUUCUCCUCUCUUUCUCUCCUCUCUUCUGUCUUUCCUCUCUUAAUGAAAUAUUGUAAACAAGCAUUGCUUGUAAAAAUGAAUAUGUAAUAUGAUACACACUUGUAGUUCGCACAUGCAGCGAACAGUGUCGCCACUUGGCGCACACCCCAUUUGAUUACCAAUAAACUUGCAUUUCUAGACUCCUGUUUGUUUCAAUAUUUUUAAGAAACAAGAACAAAAAAUGUUGUUAGUUCUUGAAACUAAAGACAAGAACAAGAACAGUACAAAUUGGGACAAAAAAUUAGAGGAACAAAACCCUAAUAUCGGGAACAAUUUAUGGAAUUGAAAGCCUCUAAUCCAGCAAAAUGCUAUUAAUCAAGCGAUAAUUUGUUUUCCAUUGUCAAUAUCUUCCCUAUAGUUGGAAAGUGAAAGCUGAGAAACGAAACAAAAGCUUCUGUAUUUUUGUCAACUUUAAACUUUCUUUGGUUUCGUUAAUUUGUAAGUAAUUUUUCUUAAUUAUCGAUUAGCAAAUCUUCUUGGCCGUUAAUUGUCAAAGUAAAACAGUUUUGAUAUGAUAAAAAUUAGACACAAACUUGUGAUAUCUUUUCUGGUUGUAGUUGAACGACUAAACUGUAUAACUUGACGAUUAUUGCUUUUGUAUCUUCUGCUAUUUCAUUUCAUAUUUCAAACAAAUUGACUAUAAUUGUAAAUGUUAGGGCCAAUAUUUUGAUUGACCUCUAAUUAACAGUGUUGACAGUUUGUUUUUAACAAUUAAGAGUCGUUUGUCAGGCCUUUGACUUCUCAGUGAGUAAAAAUCCUGCCGAGAAAUGUUUAAUGAUGGAUCAACCAUGGAAGAGGUUGAAGCUAUCUUUGAUAACAGUUAAUGUGCCAAGUGAAUCUUGUUCAAUCUUAUUUCAACAGUGAAAGUAACAAUCAAGGAGAAACAUUCUUUGGUGCUAAGGAGCAAAAUACUGUUAAUUAACCGUAAUUGUCUUUGAUCGCCCUUCUGAGAUUCAGAGAAGAUGGAGAAAAGAAGAAGAAAAAUCAACUCUGCCAAGAACAUUACAGAUGAAUAAUUUGGAAGCCUUUCUUGUCUACUGUUAACCAAAUCAACAUGCAACAACAAAACGAUGAUAGGAACAAAAAAGGACGAUUAAUGGUAGCCGAUUGAUGAUGAAGGACAUGACCUAGAGUCAGAUAAUGAUCACCAAUUUUAGUAUAACUAUUCCAAUGGAUUGGAGUAUAUUGACCUGACCAUCUCUUAUUGGGUUUCUUUAUUAAUAACCAUCUUGGACGGACUCAAGCAUUAUUUGGAAGUUAAUACCAUUGAUUGAUAUUUGACAGUUAAUGCGUGAUUGCCUUGUUAAUAUUGAAACUCUUGAAACUUGAGGGGACAACCAGGAGUCAAUGGAUGAAGGGCAAAGAAAUGCUUUGAUCAAUUGUGUGGCUAAUAAUAUCGAUAAGGAAAUAUUCACAGAUUGUCUGACCUUUGUGCCAUGUAGCUUAUUAGAUUGAAGAUUAUCCUUUGGCUAACCUUUGGAGGGCCAAUGUUUUGGAGAGAAAUGACAAAACCUGACUGUUGAUAAAGCCAAAGAUGAAACUUCAUUUUAACCACUUUCCUCAGAGUCUCUCAAUGAGUUACUAAAAAUCCUGCUGAAACGAUGAAGCCACUUGAAACAUCUUUGGCGUAAAUCAACUAAACAAAGGGCAAAGUAAAACUAACAGCGAAAGAUUGAACCAAAUAAUCAAUCAUCGAAAUUUCAAAUCAAAGUUUGGCUCACAGUUUACGUCAAUCGUUCAAUUGGAUCUGUUCAAAAAGAGUGCAAUGAAAUGCAGGAAAUCUUGAAGAAAAGUGAAAUUUCAUCUUGAAAUGUAAAUCUAUCUGUUGAUUGAAACACUAAACAAAUCUCACAAUUACAAUGCAAAAUUCACAUUUACAUUGAAAAAUCCUGAAAAUUUCCUGAUAUUGUGGAUAAACUUUUUUACUCAUCUUAAUCUGGUUCAACAUAAAGCAUCCAGCCAACGAUUCCUUGGAAGCAUUACUUUACAUAACUUUACACAAAACAACAAUUUACUCUUAAAUCCCUUACAAAUUAAUGCAGUGCAAAUUAUAUUAAAUGUUAAUUAUAAAUAUA
Tetranychus urticae (two-spotted spider mite) is the source of this 2335-nucleotide non-coding RNA. NCBI's taxonomy places the organism in Eukaryota, Metazoa, Arthropoda, Arachnida, Trombidiformes, Tetranychidae. The record is from RefSeq and is a predicted model, not a curated record.